This 497-nucleotide ribosomal RNA is filed under the name uncultured bacterium. RNAcentral's name for it is "partial 16S ribosomal RNA". It matches the Rfam family "Bacterial small subunit ribosomal RNA", at positions 28 to 507 of the family's 1533-position model. The record is from RNAcentral.
GAUGAACGCUGGCGGCGUGCCUAAUACAUGCCAGUCGAGCGAACAGACGAGGAGCUUGCUCCUCUGACGUUAGCGGCGGACGGGUGAGUAACACGUGGAUAACCUACCUAUAAGACUGGGAUAACUUCGGGAAACCGGAGCUAAUACCGGAUAAUAUAUUGAACCGCAUGGUUCAAUAGUGAAAGACGGUUUUGCUGUCACUUAUAGAUGGAUCCGCGCCGCAUUAGCUAGUUGGUAAGGUAACGGCUUACCAAGGCAACGAUGCGUAGCCGACCUGAGAGGGGGACGGGCCACACGGGAAGUGCGACAGGCCCAACCCCCCGACGGGGGGAAGAAGGGGGGACUUUUCCACAAGGGCGAAAGCCCUGCCGGCCCAACCCGGGGGGAGUAAUAAAGGUUUUCGUAUCGAAAAACUUUUUGAUGGGGGAAAAAAAAAUGUUAAAGUAAUUAGCCACGCCUGGAGGUUCCCUAACAAGAAGCCCACGGCUACCUCCGCC